RNAcentral lists this unclassified non-coding RNA (2060 nucleotides) under Zea mays. RNAcentral describes it as "misc RNA Zm00001eb031000". The record is from RNAcentral. Lineage: Eukaryota; Viridiplantae; Streptophyta; Magnoliopsida; Poales; Poaceae.
CGCCACCAACCACACCAAUCGUGCUCGCGAGCCCAACUCUAGCUGGAGUUUGUUAGACUGUCCGCAACGCUUCACCCUACACCUCCCCUACCCUAUUACUGUGCAUCCUAUAGCGGCUACAGUGUUCCCCUACCUCCCGCAGCGGCGAGCGCCACCCUCUCCCCUACCUCGCCGCACUCUUCUCUCUCACGCCACAUGCAGGGGAUGACUGUAGCCGCCCCCUCGCCUUCUUCGCGCGGACGGAGCCGACCGCGGAAGACAACGGAAACUUCCCGCUCCACCUCGCUUCGCCUCGAAUCGUCCGCGGAAGAGAGAUUUUGCGCGGCGACGCGGCGGCGGAUCUCCCGUCGGGCUGUGGAGUCGGCCCCGGCCCCGCUCAGUUGCGCAGAAGACGAACUCGACUUCGUCUCCACGCAGUUCCGUUCGCGACCGAAGACAAAGUGGGGUCAAAUCCGCUUCGCACGAGGUACCCCGCUUCCGAUUCGUUGCCUUCCGUAUCCGACCUUGGACGGCUCCAUCAGAUCCACACGGAGACGCUACGAUUCGGCGUGGUGCGGCCGAGAUCUCCCCUUCUUAAGAAUGGACCCAUCAAACAAUGCGACUUCUUCUCAGUCCAUGUCAAACUCAUCUAUUGGCCAGCAGUUUGUUCCUCCACCCCCUAUGUGGCCCACGGCUUACAUGCAGCAGAGUGCUAUGGAUUGUAACCUCGUGGGAAAUCUGAAUUUUCCAAACCCUGCUCAAGGUCCGACAACAUUGUGGGCACCCAUGCAUACAGGGAAUACUUCUUCCCAAUCUUCCAUGAUUCCGGCCUCUCAAUCAGCUAUGUACUGGAAUCAUUAUUUGAAUUUUGUGAGGAAUCCUCUUGGGCCACCAGAAGUAAACUCAUUUCCUGAUUGCAUUCCACCAUUCAAUACCAGUACACCAUUGCAGGGUUCGAAUAAUAUACCUUCCAUACCUGUGAAUUUGGACUCAGAUGCAGAACAUAGUGUUCAAGACAUCAAUAGUCCUGAAAAGAAUGCACCUCCAAUACAAAAACCCAAAAAGGCUAAGGAACAAAACUUUACUAGCCCUGAAGAUCUUCUACUUUGCACAACGUGGUUGCAAAUUAGCAGUGACCCUGUUGUGCACACUGGCCAACGUAGGGAGGGCCUUUGGGCUAGAAUUGAAAAAAGAUACAACGAACAGAGGGGGAACUUUCCUUGCCGAGUGAACAGAGCGCUUAGCAGCAGAUGGGAUAAGAUAAGAGCAGAUGUAAGUAAGUUUGCUGGAUACUAUUCAAGAGUUCUUAGAGAGAAACAAAGUGGGUUAACUGAUGACGACAAGACUUCGAAGGCCGCAACAUUAUUUGCACACGAGGAGAACAAAAAUUUCCAGUACAUGCAUUGCUGGCACCAACUAAAGGGAGAACCGAAAUGGGAGAGCAUUUGUAGUGCCCAAUCGUUCCGCGGAUUGAAUGCAAAUCCAGUUGGGUCAACAGGUACUCCGUCUGCUCCGACAACUGAAAAUGAUAGUUCAUCAGCAGGGUUGACAGGAAAACGGCCGCGUGGUCGUGAUUUCAGUAAAUCAGAGAGAAACAAACCUGCAUCAUCUUCAUCUCCAGAGUACCUUAGCCGUUUGCAAGAAAUAACUGAAAAACAAAUUCAGAGGUCCAUUGAAAAGGGUGCAAAAAAAGAGAAGUGCACAGAAGAAGACAGGGAAAUGGAGAAAAAGAGGUUAGAAUUGGAAGCCAAAAAGGUCAUCAUACGAAAAAGGGAAUUGAAACUUCAAGAACUAGAAUCUGCUGAAAAAAGAUUAGAAAGGCUGGAGGCAACGAAUGAAGAAGAUGUCCAACCCCAUGUUUGGAUUAUGAUACAGAAACAAAAACAGAAGUUGCAAGAAUUCAUAUUUGGUUACGAGUGAAACAUUUAUUCGGUUACUGGUAACUUGAACUUGUUUUACUGAACCUGUUUGUAUUAUUUGUUUAUGUGAGAACGUUACAUUUGUUUGGCAGACCAUUAUAAUAUUUGUACGAACCAUAAGUCGUCAAGGACAGUCGUGCAGUGCUGUUUGUUCUAUGGUGG